GACGAACGCUGGCGGCGUGCCUAAUACAUGCAAGUAGAACGCUGAAGAGAGGAGCUUGCUCUUCUUGGAUGAGUUGCGAACGGGUGAGUAACGCGUAGGUAACCUGCCUUGUAGCGGGGGAUAACUAUUGGAAACGAUAGCUAAUACCGCAUAACAAUGGAUGACACAUGUCAUUUAUUUGAAAGGGGCAAUUGCUCCACUACAAGAUGGACCUGCGUUGUAUUAGCUGGUAGGUGAGGUAACGGCUCACCUAGGCGACGAUACAUAGCCGACCUGAGAGGGUGAUCGGCCACACUGGGACUGAGACACGGCCCAGACUCCUACGGGAGGCAGCAGUAGGGAAUCUUCGGCAAUGGGGGCAACCCUGACCGAGCAACGCCGCGUGAGUGAAGAAGGUUUUCGGAUCGUAAAGCUCUGUUGUAAGUCAAGAACGAGUGUGAGAGUGGAAAGUUCACACUGUGACGGUAGCUUACCAGAAAGGGACGGCUAACUACGUGCCAGCAGCCGCGGUAAUACGUAGGUCCCGAGCGUUGUCCGGAUUUAUUGGGCGUAAAGCGAGCGCAGGCGGUUUGAUAAGUCUGAAGUUAAAGGCUGUGGCUCAACCAUAGUUUGCUUUGGAAACUGUCAAACUUGAGUGCAGAAGGGGAGAGUGGAAUUCCAUGUGUAGCGGUGAAAUGCGUAGAUAUAUGGAGGAACACCGGUGGCGAAAGCGGCUCUCUGGUCUGUAACUGACGCUGAGGCUCGAAAGCGUGGGGAGCGAACAGGAUUAGAUACCCUGGUAGUCCACGCCGUAAACGAUGAGUGCUAGGUGUUGGAUCCUUUCCGGGAUUCAGUGCCGCAGCUAACGCAUUAAGCACUCCGCCUGGGGAGUACGACCGCAAGGUUGAAACUCAAAGGAAUUGACGGGGGCCCGCACAAGCGGUGGAGCAUGUGGUUUAAUUCGAAGCAACGCGAAGAACCUUACCAGGUCUUGACAUCCCGAUGCUAUUUCUAGAGAUAGAAAGUUACUUCGGUACAUCGGUGACAGGUGGUGCAUGGUUGUCGUCAGCUCGUGUCGUGAGAUGUUGGGUUAAGUCCCGCAACGAGCGCAACCCCUAUUGUUAGUUGCCAUCAUUCAGUUGGGCACUCUAGCGAGACUGCCGGUAAUAAACCGGAGGAAGGUGGGGAUGACGUCAAAUCAUCAUGCCCCUUAUGACCUGGGCUACACACGUGCUACAAUGGUUGGUACAACGAGUUGCAAGUCGGUGACGGCAAGCUAAUCUCUUAAAGCCAAUCUCAGUUCGGAUUGUAGGCUGCAACUCGCCUACAUGAAGUCGGAAUCGCUAGUAAUCGCGGAUCAGCACGCCGCGGUGAAUACGUUCCCGGGCCU
RNAcentral lists this ribosomal RNA (1369 nucleotides) under uncultured bacterium. Its description in RNAcentral is "bacterial SSU rRNA". It matches the Rfam family "Bacterial small subunit ribosomal RNA", at positions 28 to 1381 of the family's 1533-position model. The record is from RNAcentral.